AACUGUAAAGGAACAUGAUUGCAACAGGAAGGGAGAGGAACAUCCUGAGUAUAAAGCCUGCAGCAGGAUAGUUGAGAUAGCAAGCCUGAGCACAAUGCACAGCUGCAGUGCAGGAGAGGACUCCAGGCUAGAAGUUCCAAUCUGAUGCUAAUCACAAAAUCCUCGAGACUGUGAGACGUCCGUGCUCACCUCCCUCCUGCUGGCAAGAAAGGAACACAGGCUGCAGAGGAGCUGCAGAGGAGUGGGGCUGGUAGGAUGGAUGUGGCCCAACAAACCUUGUUCUCUGUCAGCAUCCUGCAUUUUUGAAGCAGAGGCCAUGAACAUUGGCCUUUUGUGUGUUCUCUGGAAAUGGCUGCCGUGA
RNAcentral lists this long non-coding RNA (361 nucleotides) under Cyanistes caeruleus (blue tit). RNAcentral describes it as "lncRNA (ENSCCEG00000006672.1)". The record is from RNAcentral. Lineage: Eukaryota; Metazoa; Chordata; Aves; Passeriformes; Paridae.